UUUAUGGGUGAUGUAUGGUUUACUUGUACAGUUGUACUUCUUUUCUACUUUUGUCUCAUAAUAAUGUAUAUUAGUAAUACCAGGAGAUGGAAAAGAAAUAAGGCAUAACUACUUUUUUCUAAAUAGAUCCCAUCCUUUUAGCAUUCUGUAAUAUGUUUAUUUAUUUAUUUUUAAUGAAUUUACUUUCAUCCAGAAAUGGCUUUCAGAGGCCGGAUAAAAUUAAAGAUUCCCAUAGACAAAGUAGUCAAUUGGAAGAUCUCACGCAGAAGAUGAGGGAAUGCAAAAGGUUGAUAAAGGAGUUUGAUCGUGAAAUUAAAGAUGGGGAGGGAAGAAAUUCCCAAGAAGUGAACAAACAACUCAAUGACGAAAAUCAAUCGAUGAUCAAGGAGCUAAACUCAGAUGUGGCAUUGAGAAAAACGGAAGUAAAUAUUGAUAUUUCUAUUUAUCUAGUCUGAAUAAAAAUUUCUGUUAACAUACAAUUGGGCCCUCUAAAAGUUAUUGAUUCGAUCAAAUCAGAUGGCUAAUAUCAAUUUCCCCCGUGGGCACACUGAUCUUUCAAUACGGUGAUAUAUGUUUGGUGUGGUGUUAGUAGAAGUGUAGACCCAAUAAAGCAAAAGUUUUAGUUCCUUUUACAAUUUUUUCCUCCUAAAUAAAAGGUUUAGUCCUGCGAGUUAUGAAAGGAGGAUUUGUACUGUCACUUUUAUGUAUAACAGGUACACAAUAAGAAAAUUGAGCUUUUUGAUAUGGGAGCAGGUGAACCUACAGCUGAAGAAAAUGUUGAAUUGGCUUCAGGUAAAAUGUUCAGUGGAAGUUGUAGUUGAACUACAAUGCCAUACAAAUGGAUGAAACUGAUCAGGCUAUUGAAAGAUCUAAGCAGGUGAAUUAAUUCAGACUUUUGACUCCAUUUCCCUGGCAGCUUUGUUCUUAAUCCUUCAAAACAUGUAGACUGAGCAAAUGGGUUGCAUUGUCAAUGAGCUUGACUCUAUUCAGUUCUGAAUUAAGGCAUCCCAACUUGUGAAGGAGAUUGGUAGAAAGGUAGCUACAGACAAGGGCAUUAUGCUUUUCCUAUUCCUUAUCAUCUGAGGUGUAAUCGCCAUUAUUGUGGUGAAGAUCUUGAAUCCCAACAACAAAGAUAUUACGGAUAUUCCGGGAUUGGCUCCUCCAGCUCAGACCAGGAGACUGUUGUAUCUAAGGAGCAAAGAACAUUUUGAUUGAUUCCAACAUUAUUUGAAGAAAGAGUUUUCUCCAUCCUGUUCCUACCAACUUGAUUCUUGUACCUGUCACUGGGAGAGGAUUGCUCUUGAGGGGGAAUUCAUUUUGGUCUCUGUAAUUUGAAAUUUUUAAAAUUUCUUGCAUAUCUUGUUUGUGGUUCUGUACUUGUAUGUAAAUCACAGAAGAACAACUUUGUGCCAUGUUUCUUUAUUUAACAUUGGGAAAUCGUAGGGGAUAGGAAAGAAACAAUACUCUACUAGUCUACUGUCAUAUAUGUCAUAUGUGGUGUGUACAUGUCUCAUUCAAAGGAGUUUUAUGUUAUGAAUAUUUCUGUAAUCUACACAUUCAUCUUCAACAUUUUCUGUAGGAUCUGUUUGUAAA
Arachis ipaensis is the source of this 1593-nucleotide non-coding RNA. The record is from RefSeq and is a predicted model, not a curated record. NCBI's taxonomy places the organism in Eukaryota, Viridiplantae, Streptophyta, Magnoliopsida, Fabales, Fabaceae.